Molecule: unclassified non-coding RNA, 742 nt
Filed under: Zea mays
Lineage: Eukaryota; Viridiplantae; Streptophyta; Magnoliopsida; Poales; Poaceae
Description: misc RNA Zm00001eb271580
Source: RNAcentral
GGAGCGAGCUAGGCACACCACGAUUUGAGGAAGCUGCGUGCAGAAAAAAACGUGCGCGCAGGGACGAGCUCGACAGGGAUCUUGGCGAGACCACGGCGCUGGAAGUCGAGCGCAAUCCGAGCUGGGCGAGCUGCACCAAGGAGCAGCAGCCGGCCAUGGGAGGUGGCGGCCAAGCAAGCUGGGGAUGGCCGACGGCGCUGGGGCUGGACGCGCUGGAUACCGAGCGCGAACAGGAAGAAGCGGAGGCCGAGCUGGGCACCGGCGCGCGUCAUGGGAGAGAGCAGAGCGAGCUCCGGCCAGGAAAUUGGCGAGCUGGGAGAUGGAGCUGAGAGGGCUGCGCAGCGGCCAGGCGAGCUGGGCAAGACCUCGGCUGGGCGGACCAUGGCGGACAGAAACAACGAGGCAGCUCGACGUGCUCAACUGCCGUGGGAGAUAAGACCGGCGGCAAGGCAAGAAAUAUCCCAGGCGGAGGAGAUAAAUGAAGAGAGAGACACGAAUGAAGAAGAAGAUAAGGAAGAGAACUGCGCUCGGCGGUAGGAAAAUCAGGAAUAGAGAAAGCGGCUGGAAAAAUCUGAAGGGGAGGCCGCGGUAGGAGAUGAGAACGACUUGAGCUGCGGUGGAUGGAUUGGAACGUGAGAAGAUUUUUCCUUUUUCAGAUUUUUAAUUUCUUUAACUGAAAAAUCUCAGAUAUUUGUGGUUCUGAUAUUUAAAUUUGAGAUAUAUUUAAAAGGUCAAACCAAAA